AAGUCGUAACAAGGUUUCCGUAGGUGAACCUGCGGAAGGAUCAUUAAUGAAACUUCAAAGUCGGCCGAUAGUUGUUGCUGGUGGUUAACUCCACAUGUGCACACUUUUGGUCGCAAUCCACACACACCUGUGCAUCUAUGACUCGAGGUUGUAAUGACUGAGAGUAACUUUUACACACUCUUGUAUGUAAUGGAAUGUCUUUUGUGCUAUAAUGUACAAUAUAAACAACUUUCAACAACGGAUCUCUUGGCUCUC
Molecule: unclassified non-coding RNA, 255 nt
Filed under: air metagenome
Description: partial contains small subunit ribosomal RNA, internal transcribed spacer 1, and 5.8S ribosomal RNA
Rfam family: Eukaryotic small subunit ribosomal RNA (bases 1-46)
Source: RNAcentral